This 254-nucleotide ribosomal RNA is filed under the name uncultured bacterium. RNAcentral's name for it is "partial 16S ribosomal RNA". It matches the Rfam family "Bacterial small subunit ribosomal RNA", at positions 524 to 776 of the family's 1533-position model. The record is from RNAcentral.
GACGAACCGUGCGAACGUUAUUCGGAAUCACUGGGCUUAAAGCGCGUGUAGGCGGGUCGGUACGUCGGACGCUGAAAUCCCCCGGCUCAACCGGGGAACGGGCGCCGAAACGGCUGGCCUGGAGGGGGGUAGGGGAAUCGGGAACUUCCGGUGGAGCGGUGAAAUGCGUUGAGAUCGGAAGGAACGCCCGUGGCGAAAGCGCGAUUCUGGACCCUUUCUGACGCUGAGACGCGAAAGCCAGGGGAGCGAACGGG